GUACUGCUGAAGAGUCUCAAACUAGGACGAAACAGCCGUCCAGUGC
This 46-nucleotide non-coding RNA is filed under the name Trichobilharzia regenti. Lineage: Eukaryota; Metazoa; Platyhelminthes; Trematoda; Strigeidida; Schistosomatidae. The record is from RNAcentral.